UCUAGCUUCCUCCAAGGAAAUAAAAACCCCAAACCCCAACUCAUUUUCUAUCUCUCACUCACUAUCCUCCUUCUUCCUCUGUUCUGUCCGUCAAAUUCAGCACCAUACUCUCAUUUUUAGUCGUUAUUCCUUCAUCAAAGUUGUAUAUCUCUUCGAGUUAUUGAAUUUAGACUCAAAAAUCACUCGAUUCGGAGUUCGGAGCUAUAAGUUACGCCCUUUGCAAGUUUGGUGUCAGUGCUGAAAUUCUGAUGCGUUGCUGCUAUUCGGUGUUGCUGUGUGGGUUCUUUAAGUUCAAUUUUCUCUCUCCUCUGCUUUGGUAAUGCUGUUGUUGUCCGGUUGGUGUUCCGACACCGUCGUUGCUGCUGUAGCUUCGUCGGAAUUUUGUCGAUGUUGUCAUUCUUAUUAAGCUCUGCUUGUUCUAAUUUCUUGGGAAGGUAUAAAUUAACUCUCAUCUCUCCUUCUAUGCUUUUGUUCCAAAAAUUCAGGUUGUGGUGUAAAUUGGUUUAUUUUGAUAAUCUUGAAAAAAAAAAUCAGAUUUUGUUUAAGUAAAAGAUUGAAUCUUUCAUCUUCUAAUAUAUUGACAUGUGUUUUGAAACUUUAUAAUCAUCUCCAAAUUCAGAAUUGCAUUUUGUUGAAGGUAAAAGAUGAUGUUUUUGCCUCUUAAAUUCAAGAUUAGAUAUGGUGUAACCUUAUAUUUUCAACAACUGAAUGUAUGAACUUUGGGUAAAUUGUUCUUAAACUUAUUUUGGUUUAAUGACGAAGAUAAGAUAGUUCAAGAAGUUAGUAAUUUAUAAUUUGCAGAUCCAAGUUAAUUACUCUUAUUUGAAAAAUCUAUUUGGAUGAUUCUUCAAGUACUUUUAAAUUAAAACAUAAUCUAGUUAGGUUUAUGAUUAAACUAAUUGUUUUGGAGAGUUAUAAUGUGAGAUUUAUAGUAUAAGUUGGAUUAUUAGAAGGUUGGUAUUAUUUAGAAAAUCAUCAUUAGCUCAUAAGGUUUAAGAUUGAUUAUUAUCUAUUUGAAGAAUGGUUGUUGAUUAUGUUAUUGUGUUGGGUGAAUUAUGUUGGAGUUCGAAUUGGAGUUGAAGAUCAAGAUUAUCAUAAAUGUUCAUGGAGAUUGCAUAUAAUUGUUCUUGAGUUUGAGGUGUAUGUUCGGAUUUCUGGAUGAAUCAAGAGAAAGAGUUUCAGUUAAGAGAUGGAAAUUAAAAUUAGUGAUUCGAAGUUAUAUUUAGAGUAUAAUUGUUGAAUAUUAAGUUCUCAUUUGAUAUUUAAGUAUUGUUUUAUUUUGGGAUUUAAGUAAAGUAUUAUAAAAUCAGGUAUUGGUUUUUAAGGAUGAUUUGUUGUGGGCCUUGACCCACAGGUCCAGGAUCGUUCUAUAGGUUAUGUUUCCGCUGCAAGUGAAUAUAAUUCGAGGUUAUUAAGCA
This is a long non-coding RNA of Beta vulgaris subsp. vulgaris (sugar beet), 1418 nucleotides long. RefSeq lists it as uncharacterized. The transcript is spliced from 2 exons. The record is from RefSeq and is a predicted model, not a curated record. NCBI's taxonomy places the organism in Eukaryota, Viridiplantae, Streptophyta, Magnoliopsida, Caryophyllales, Amaranthaceae.